Molecule: unclassified non-coding RNA, 356 nt
Filed under: fungal sp.
Lineage: Eukaryota; Fungi
Also listed under: 1 other name
Description: partial internal transcribed spacer region
Rfam family: Eukaryotic small subunit ribosomal RNA (bases 1-46)
Source: RNAcentral
AAGUCGUAACAAGGUUUCCGUAGGUGAACCUGCGGAAGGAUCAUUAACAAACGCAGAGCUUUAUUGCUCGCAACCUUUGUGAAUUGGCUCUCUCACUGAAACUUUUAAAAAAGUUUUGGGUGCAGAUCUAGCUUAGCUUAAGAGCAUUUGAGUGCAGCUUCGGCGACAGUCAAUUGUCUACUAGUCUAGUAAAGCAAGAGAGUUUGCUGGGCGUCCCAAAUGAUAGUGCUGAACUCUCUAUUGUUAAUCAAUAGAAGGGGAAGCCUGUCACCUUAAAAUAGUCUGAUAUUAAUUAAAACGAAAGUUUUAGUAAACAUUAUAUUAUACAACUUUUAACAAUGGAUCUCUAGGCUCUU